Nelumbo nucifera (sacred lotus) is the source of this 2257-nucleotide long non-coding RNA. RefSeq lists it as uncharacterized. The record is from RefSeq and is a predicted model, not a curated record. NCBI's taxonomy places the organism in Eukaryota, Viridiplantae, Streptophyta, Magnoliopsida, Proteales, Nelumbonaceae.
AGGGCAGGUUGGUCAUUACGGGGAUACGAGGAACCAACUUUCUGGUUUGGUUUCAGUUGGGUGAGGAUCCCUUUCGGUUACAUUCAUUUUUUUCACUGACUGAAUCCAACGAACAACAAUAACAAUGAAAGAAAGAGGGAGUAAUGACACAUCUCCUUUGUUCCGUAUGACUAAAUGUCUUUCUCUCUCCUUCCUUCUCACUCUUUUACCUUAUUUCGUCUGCCUAGCGGAGUUUGGAGACUGAUGGGUUGAUGAAAAAUGGGAUAAAGUAGAGAGAGAGAGCAGGAGUCUUGACCAUUGGCGUUCGCUUUCGUGUAGGCGUUGUUUCCAGCUUCCAUGCGUGACACGUAGAGUUUUUUGCGAGUCUUUUUUAUUGCAUUUUAGGUUAAUUUUUUAUCACUAUUUUUAUAUUAUUGAUAUUGAUCAUCAUCACUAUUUUUACUUCUUAUAAAAAUCUUGUGCUUGAUCACCUUCUGGCUUCUGGAGUUCUUAAACCGCUUUUAUUCAUCUACCCCGAUGAUUGGUGUGACAUAAUCUGAUGGAGUGAUGGGCAAAGACAUGUAAGCUGCCACGGCACCAACAAAACCCGGCGGAUAAAUCCCGGUGAACCCGCUGAGGUGGACAAAGCCCGAUGCACUCAUUGAACACAGCCCAUUGGACAUAGCCCGAUGGGCAAAGGCCUGUUGGACAUAACCAGAUGCCUAUGCAAUUUCUUAUUCUUGAGCCGCUGAGGCCGUUGGUUAAAGGCCUGUUGUGUCUCGAACUGCUACUAACUGACAGUUGAUCGAUGGCCUGACAAUCGAUCAGGGAGAGAGGGGUGGCGGUGGUGCCCUAGAAGAGAUGCUACUGACUGAUAGCUGAGUAGGAUCGAGGGCCUCAGCCUGACAGACAGGAGAGGGGAGCGGAUAAGAAAAAGAGAGAGUGUGGGAGCGAGAGGGAAAGAUGAACCAAGGAAGAAGAAGAAGCAAGGGAGAGAGUUCUUAGUGGGAAAGAUUAAUCUGUUUCUAUGUUCUUCUUUUCUCACUACGUUCGUUUUCCUUAUCUUCUUUGUCCUUUUUGUUCAUGUCAAGAGUUCUUGGUGGAUUUCUUAUUUUUGGAUGUUUCAAUAGAUUUUCUUGAUCGUUCGAGCUGCAUUGGUACUCCUAGGUGGGUUUUCGGAUUUCUUGGUUCGGGAGAGAAAUGAAUCUGGAGUUCUGGUCCUAUGGACUCGACAGUUGUUGAUUUGAGACUCAAGAGAUCUACCAUCUGGGGGUGGAAAUUCAAAUAAGCAUGACAAGGAUAAAGGUGUUAAUAUUCAGGUUCUUCUCCAUUGCAGACCCUUGAGCGAAGAUGAAAUGAGGGUCAAGAAACCGCAAAUGAAAUAUCUGCCACGCAGAACACAGCCAACAAGCAUAUUGAUAGAGCUUUUGUAUUUGACAAGGUUUUUGGUCCGGCAUCUCAACAGAAGGAUUUGUUUGAUCAAGCCGUUUCUCCUAUUGUCAAUGAAGUUCUUAAGUUCUUGAAGGUUAUAACUGCACCAUUUUCGCAUACGGUCAGACAGAAUAGGGAUUUAACAAAGUAAUGCGGGUGUUAUCCCUAGAGAUGUUCAACAAAUCUUUGACAUACUUGAAGCUCAAAAUGCCGAGUACAGCAUGAAGGUUACAUUUCUAGUACAAUGAGGAAAUAACCGAUCUUUUGGCUCCCGAAGAAUGCACAAAAUUCAUUGAUGACAAGUCAAAGAAACCAAUAACCCUCGUGGAAGAUGGAAAAAGGGGUGUUUUUGUGAGAGGCCUGGAAGAGGAGAUAUCGUCUGUACUGCAAAUGAAAUAUAUAAGAUCUUGGAGAAAGGGUCUGCUAAAAGAUCAUACUACAGAUACCCUGCUUAACAAGCAAUGCAGUUGCUCCCACUCAAUAUUUUCUACCACAAUCCACAUCCAAGGAGUGUACACCUGAGGGAGAAAAGAUGAUUAAAUGUGGAAUACUUAAUCUUGUUGACCUUGCUGGCUCUGAGAACAUAUCACAUUCUGGGGCAAGAGAGGUAUGCGGGCUACAGACAUACAUACAAGUGCACAACUUCAAAUAUUAACAUUCACACAUACACUUAAAAUGGCAUGCUUGUGGUUGUAGAUGUAGUAACAUUAAUUAAGACCACUCCAGUAGAACCUUUCUCUCUCUCUCUCUAUAUAUAUAUUUAAUUGUAAGUAGACCUAUGUUUACAGGGAAUAGCAAAGAGAAGAUGGAGAGGUUAAUAAAAGUUUGCUUACACUUGGUCGUGUCA